Megalopta genalis is the source of this 3214-nucleotide non-coding RNA. NCBI's taxonomy places the organism in Eukaryota, Metazoa, Arthropoda, Insecta, Hymenoptera, Halictidae. The record is from RefSeq and is a predicted model, not a curated record.
AGUACAACUAUAGUCUAACGAUUGCAAUAUGUACAUAUGUAUACUAACGGUUCAGACAAUAAUACAACCGAUCAACGGAAAUACUAUAACAAAUUUUCAUUUAUUUUGUCUCUCUACGAUCUAUACAAUAAAUUUUAUUUUCUGCAAUAAUAUAUGUGCAUUGCAUACAUGUUUUCUGUGUAUAUUAUAAUAUUUCUUGCAUUCAUUAUCAUUUCUGAUAGAAGUAUAUAGCAUUUUAUACUUCUUUCUAUGACAUUUAUAAUGUCAUGUAAAAAAAGAAAGCUUGUUUCGUUGUUUUAAGAUAUAUAUAAGUAAGUACUAGUUCUUUUGUAAAUAUUUGAUGAAACUAAAGAAAUCUAGAAAUAAUAAAAGAUUAAAUCAGGCACGAAAUUGUAAAACAUGCUCUGACAUGUUCGAUUGCUCACGAAUCAAAGAACGAGUCGUAAAUCGCGGUCGAAUAAUGUGAGCAGCAACAAGUAGCAAUGUGACCGUUUGCCUGCAACAUAGGGGCGUCCCUCGCGUCCGCACCUUUCCCUGACUAAUCAACAAAUUGAAUGAAACCGAGGUAGACUGAUAGAGUAGCGACCACCGUUGCCGUGAAUUAUGUGAACAGCAUGGUAAUAACGGAGCAGCUGAUAAUUAUGGAUUAACGCGUCAAAUAUAUGGAAACACAGUGAGAAACAAUGAGAGACUGCUAUAUCCAGAAGAAAUUCCACAGCGACGCGUAUUUCAACCAUUGGAUCUGCAAUUUGACGAUCAAGAGUUGAAAUUGGUAUCAGAAUUAAUAUUAAUACGUCGACCCUGCAUCAAUGUAAAGGAGAUGAAGUUAUUGCACUGGCUCGUGUAUUCCUAUUAAUAAGCUCACGGAAUACAUAUGUCUUAGUUAUUGCUCAACGAGUGGGAAUCUGACUCGACAAAUAAUUUGCAGGGGUCCGUGACCUUGUUGAAUUUGACACGUGUAAGCUCUGUGUUUGAACAAUUACACUGAUCGAUAGCAUUUUUACCGUUCAAUGUGUAAAAGUUACAACACGAUCUACGUUUCCUGGAACGUUUACUGUUCUCGGAUAAAAAAACAAUUCUUCAAGCAAUAAUAUCUUGAAUCGACCAAAUACCAAAAUUUGGGCUUACAGAGAUCACCAUGUAAUGAUGGAAAGAUUCAAUCGAAGACGUUCCACCUUCAACGUGUCAACUGGAAUCAUUGGGAACAAUAUUAUAUUAUAUAUAAAUAAUAUAAUAUAUAAUAUAAUAAAAUAUAUAUAUACAGGUCAUGUCAUAAAGCAAAAAUAUAGCGUUCUAUUGAAAAAAAACGCAAGACGAACUUGGCACAACUUUGAUAAAGGGACGGAUGGAUUACUACAGACAGAUUAUAUUAACAAUAAAAUAGGAAACAUAUAAGUAUGGCAAAUUAACAGAUAUAUAUAAGGUGGUAACAAAAGUAAGACAAACAUGCAGAAAGAUAUUUUUUUCAUUGGAGGUUCCGUUUUCGAGAAAAAUUAGAUUGAUUCCUAUUUAUGUAAUAGUGUUAAAGUGGCGUGUCGAGCCAUGACAUACCAAUUCUAUUUCUUGUCAUGCCACGAGCCACACGAACUUGAAGUAUCUUCCAACUCGUUUUCUUGAAAACGCAAAUAUUCUUUUCUUAUGACUGUACCUGUACCAACAGUUCGUAACCGUUUCACCGAUAUUAAUUUGUUAAAUUCUUCAAAAUAGCACAAUUCCAUAUUUUUGGAAUCUUUUCUCUAUCGAAAGAUUUCGGCCGACGUUUAUCAGCAGAGUCGAGCAGGCUAUAUUUUAAAUAACGAAUACACACCAAAUAUUUAUCCGGCAAUUGAAACUUUUUUCCAGUUUCCAAUAGUCACUAUGCGACCAUUAUAGAGAGCUUCGCUUCUCAACGAAGAAUCCGGAAGCCGAAUCGCUCUGUUGCCCUCAAUUCUCAAAAAACACGAGCUUCUACGAAACCUCAGAGUUCUCGAGAAAAAUCAGCUAUUGCGUGAAAAGUAAAAACGACAGGAAGUUCUAAUCGGUCUUGGAAGAUAGAUGAGAGUUUCCCGAACAUAUCGGCGUACAACUUGUUAAUUGUUUCUGCUCCUGAAUGGUCAUAAACUAACGUCGAAGUUUAGAAAAGUGUCGACGCGCGUAGUUUCUCCGCGAUAUUUUCGUAUUUCUGACGAGAAGUUCUUCGUCCGGCGCGAAGACUUUACCCAGGAUCGGAUUCCGUUGACAUCUCCGAGGAAGAAACUGCCCGGUAAAAGUGUCGGAACGAUUUGCAUUUCAAAUAGACCGAGAGAAUAUUCGUCGAUUCGACAGGGCCGAGAAGCGUGGAAUGCAAAUGAACGCGCGUCAUCAUGCUUUAAAGUUUACGCAGUUGAAACCAGUCUUUUAUGUUUUGGUUCACGUCCGGGCAUCAACGAUGUCUGAGAAAUGAAGAUAUAACUUAAGAAAGAACAGUUUCGAUACAUUUAUUGUGAACUGUUUCUACAGCUCAAAAAUCUGUAUCUUGAAAAUCUGGAAGACUGCUUUCUCAGGACUAACAUAAGCAAAAUAUAAUGUUCGAGUAUUAACUAAGAACCAUAAAUAAGCAUGACUGAAGUUUAAUCCGCGGUCACGUUUACUGGAUAAAAAAGAAGAAACGGAGAGACAUCGUUCUAAGCGUCGGAAGAGAUUCGAUUUGAAUGGUCCUAAUGAACGGAUCUAUUAUUUUUACGAUGUAAAGAAAGGAGAACUCCGUUUGACUUGGAUCGCAUUAUGACGGAGGCUAAUUAUAUUUUGAUACGCGAUAAUGCUGCAACCCACAUGGCAAAAUCUGUGCAGCAUUUUCUUGUUCAAUAAACACUAAAGUUUCAACAGGAAACAGUAAGUUCGAGAUGCAAACGUUCUCGAAAAUAUUUGUGCCGACUUUCUGCCAGAACAGAUCUAUAAGAAAGAAAGCCAAAAGUGAAACAUAAAAAAUUCUAGAGAUUUGAAGGGAAAGUCUAAAGAAUAUUUUGAAGUCACGCACGCAAAAUUUGUCAAUUUCAGCUUGUGGAAAGAUGUGAACGAUUACGGUGCAAAGAAGAGUUGCGUGCAUCAUUGAACCUAUGCUUUACAUCGCGUGAUAUUGCUCGCAAAAUUGAAGCUAUUUAAAAACGUUCGACGCAUACUUCUGGCAUGUGAGGAUAUCGUACGAUUAAAACUGAAACGUAAACUGACAUCCAAAUACAUAUACAUUUCGCGAGAA